GUGGGGAAUAUUGGACAAUGGGCGAAAGCCUGAUCCAGCCAUGCCGCGUGUGUGAAGAAGGUCUUCGGAUUGUAAAGCACUUUAAGUUGGGAGGAAGGGCAGUAAGUUAAUACCUUGCUGUUUUGACGUUACCGACAGAAUAAGCACCGGCUAACUUCGUGCCAGCAGCCGCGGUAAUACGAAGGGUGCAAGCGUUAAUCGGAAUUACUGGGCGUAAAGCGCGCGUAGGUGGUUUUGUAAGUUGGAGGUGAAAUCCCCGGGCUCAACUUGGGAACUGCCUCCAAAACUGCAUGACUAGAGUACGGUAGAGGGUAGUGGAAUUUCCUGUGUAGCGGUGAAAUGCGUAGAUAUAGGAAGGAACACCAGUGGCGAAGGCGACUACCUGGACUGAUACUGACACUGAGGUGCGAAAGCGUGGGGAGCAAACAGGAUUAGAAACCCGAGUAGUCC
Molecule: ribosomal RNA, 450 nt
Filed under: uncultured bacterium
Lineage: Bacteria
Description: bacterial SSU rRNA
Rfam family: Bacterial small subunit ribosomal RNA
Source: RNAcentral